GCAUCCAUAGCUCAGUAGGAUAGAGCGUCCCCCUCCUAAGGGGAAGGCCAGGGGUUCGAUUCCCUUUGGGUGCACCA
Molecule: transfer RNA, 77 nt
Filed under: Hathewaya limosa
Lineage: Bacteria; Bacillati; Bacillota; Clostridia; Eubacteriales; Clostridiaceae
Also listed under: 1 other name
Description: tRNA-Arg
Rfam family: tRNA
About the family: Transfer RNA (tRNA) molecules are approximately 80 nucleotides in length. Their secondary structure includes four short double-helical elements and three loops (D, anti-codon, and T loops).
Source: RNAcentral